UACGUAGGGACCGAGCGUUGUCCGGAUUCAUUGGGCGUAAAGAGCUCGUAGGCGGUCUGUCGCGUCGAUCGUGAAAACUUGGGGCUUAACCCUGAGCUUGCGGUCGAUACGGGCAUGACUGGAGUUCGGCAGGGGAGACUGGAAUUCCUGGUGUAGCGGUGAAAUGCGCAGAUAUCAGGAGGAACACCGGUGGCGAAGGCGGGUCUCUGGGCCGAUACUGACGCUGAGGAGCGAAAGCGUGGGGAGCGAACAGG
Molecule: ribosomal RNA, 254 nt
Filed under: uncultured bacterium
Lineage: Bacteria
Description: partial 16S ribosomal RNA
Rfam family: Bacterial small subunit ribosomal RNA
Source: RNAcentral